Molecule: long non-coding RNA, 487 nt
Filed under: Capsella rubella
Lineage: Eukaryota; Viridiplantae; Streptophyta; Magnoliopsida; Brassicales; Brassicaceae
Description: long non-coding RNA (CRUB_LNC003152)
Source: RNAcentral
AAGAGCUCUGUUUUAUUAUUUGAUUUUUUUUUCUUUUUGUUGUUUUUCCCUUUUGUUGGUUGCAUGAAGAGUUUCUCCCACAGAUAAACAAUAUUUCUCCUUUGUUAUCUCGGGUUAGUGACAAGAUUUCUCCUUUGCCCUCGUGACUUAAAUAAGCUCAUGUUUCAUCUUAUGAAGUAAAGUGCCUUUUUCUGCUCCUUUCUGCGCAUUAUCCCUUCAUGAACAUCCUCCACACUGUGUCUAUCACACACGUUACUCACUUUGCAACUCCAAGCCAUGAAGAGUAGCUAUUUAUCUAGAAGAACCGGUACAACAAAGACAAUCCAAAAAAAAAUUUGUAAAAAAAAAAUGUACAAUCUCCCCUUGUUUCAGCACACACACUCAAUAGGACGAUGGUUAGAGUUCACAAAUACCCAGAGACUUCUGCAAAUGCACAAAUGUGCUGCGGCCCAAAUGCUUAGUGAAUAUAUCAGGAAGUUGAAUCUUA